AUGGGGUAUUUUUAUAAGUCCCAAGUCAAUUCAUCGAAAACAGAUUUCUUCAUGGAUCUUCAGAAUUUCCUUAUUCGUGCUCGAGUAUUCAAGCUUUACAGACAAGCUUUGAGAGUUGCCGGUCGAGCACCCCCUCCUGCUAGAGGUGAACUGAGACAAAUGAUUAGACAAGAGAUGGAGAAUAAUCGAAACUGCAAUGACAAGCAAAGGAUCCGUUACUUGAUUAGUGAAGGCUUGGAAAAAUUGAAACGCCUCGAUGAAAUGCUUGAUAUGCAAGGUCAUUAG
Molecule: long non-coding RNA, 285 nt
Filed under: Vicia faba (fava bean)
Lineage: Eukaryota; Viridiplantae; Streptophyta; Magnoliopsida; Fabales; Fabaceae
Source: RNAcentral